Molecule: ribosomal RNA, 441 nt
Filed under: uncultured bacterium
Lineage: Bacteria
Description: partial 16S ribosomal RNA
Rfam family: Bacterial small subunit ribosomal RNA
Source: RNAcentral
CCUACGGGUGGCAGCAGUGGGGAAUAUUGCACAAUGGGGGAAACCCUGAUGCAGCGACGCCGCGUGAACGAGGAAGUAUUUCGGUAUGUAAAGCUCUUUCAGCAGGGACGAAAAAAGACGGUACCUGACUAAGAAGCACCGACUAACUACGUGCCAGCAGCAGCGGUAAUCCGUAGGGGGCAAGCGUGAUCCGGAUUUACUGGGGGUAAAGGGAGCGUAGACGGCAAGGCAAGCCAGAAGUGAAAGGGCAGGGCUCAACCCUGUACAUGCUUUUGGAACUGGGGUGCUAGAGUGCAGGAGAGGUAAGUGGAAUUCCAGGUGUAGCGGUGAAAUGCGUAGAGAUUAGGAGGAACACCAGUGGCGAAGGCGGCUUACUGGACUGUAACUGACGUUGAGGCUCGAAAGCGUGGGGAGCAAACAGGAUUAGAUACCCGAGUAGUC